Gigantopelta aegis is the source of this 2415-nucleotide long non-coding RNA. RefSeq lists it as uncharacterized. NCBI's taxonomy places the organism in Eukaryota, Metazoa, Mollusca, Gastropoda, Neomphalida, Peltospiridae. The transcript has 3 exons. The record is from RefSeq and is a predicted model, not a curated record.
AGAUAAUCCGUAAUCAGCCGAAGAGUUUGGUGGUGCAUGAGCAUAAAAACAAUCGCCGGUCGAGGUCUUAACACGUUUGACACUAAUCAGUUUGUUUCAGAAAAUGAAUUUUUGGAAGAAACACAGAUCGUCAUUUUUAAUAGGUGGUUUAGUAAUAAGUAUUGCUGCAGCUUUAUAUCCUAUCAUGAUUCAGCCAUAUUUCCACCCCGAGGGUUGGCGUGAUUUACAGACAGUGGGACGCCAAGGAAUUGACCGUGAGAAAAUUCAACCAGGAGGAAUGAAAGUGUGGACAGAUCCAUUUGACAGAAAAAAGUGAAGUGUUGUAUGAAGUUAUAGAUAUAUCUGACAAUUCCUAGUUUUAAGACAAAAGUGCUGUAUGGUUGUUUGAUAUAUUUAUACACACAUGUAAAUAUGAUAAACAAUAAACUUUGCAAGAGUGGAAGAUAACUUAUGAACAGUGACUACUGGCAAGAGGAUUAAUACUCAGUGUGUUUGUUUUGAGUACACAUUCAAGUUCAUUUGCAACACUGAUGUCACCAUAGUAACAAUUAGAUGCUUGAGGUCAUUGUAACGACAGAUGCUAUUUAAACAUAUUUAUCACUGUUGAUGUCCAAGAAGCAUUUAUGGUUAUAUAUAAUUUUUUCUUUAUCAGACUGGUGUCUGAAAUUAUUCUAAUGAUGGUAGUUACUCUUUGGAUUCAUUAUAUUCAAGUAAUACAUUAACAGUUGGAGGUCGUUAACAAUUAUGUAACACAAAAUUGGGAUUUUAUUUUUUACCCUCCUUCACAAUUAAAGUUUUUAACACUUAAGUGCCAGAAAGGCCACCCCUCUAAAUUUAAAUUUAUAUGGCUGAUCAAUUCCCAAAUACACCUAGCUACCCUGUCGUAAUGCAGGUGCAUGUGUAGGAAUUUUAGCAGGGAAAGUCUAGACUGACAAGCAAUGGUUAUAGGGAGGUUGAAAACAUGCUCGCCAGAAAAUGUAUUGGGGGAGUGGGGGUGGGAUUCAUUCUUGAGUGGUGAGGUUCAUACAGGCACCUGUAAUAACAUAAUUGGCCAAUAAUGUUUGAGUUUCUAUUUGCAUUUAUAUUCGUUUAGCCUGGUAAUAAAUACUGGAUAGAAUUGAGUCAUCAGUUGAAGAACAUAAUAGCAAUAACGGACUGCUUUUUUAACUGGACUACUUCGAUGAAAUGGGUAACCUUACUCUUUCACUUUUUUAAAAAUCAAUAUGUAGCUGAAAAGAGUAUAUAUAUGUAACAUUUUACCUUCCCUACCUAAUUUUAUUUGGCAUGUUACUGAUUAUAUACAAUUUUAUUCAGGGGUAAAGAAAUAUAAGACAGUUGUUUUAAAGACAGACUUAAAUAUUAACAUAAAAUAUUUUAGCAUUCCGUGAUGCCAACCAAAGCAUUAUGUAAUUGUUGAACAGCCUUUUACUUACAUAAGGACAGAUUCAGUGGAAGGUUGCAUACUGUUUAGUGAAUAUUUUGAAUUCUAGAUAAACUUUGUUCCUUUUGGAGAUGCUGCUUUCCUGUCAUUUUGAAAAAUUUCAAUGAGAUCAUGGUUUUGACAGUUCCAAGUUUGUAUCAUUAGAGUAAUAAUAAUAAUAAUAGGGUUGCUUUGAGUGAACUAAGUCAAAUCUGGUUCAUCUUUAUUAUUUAUCUGUUUUUUAUUUUUAUUAUUUUUGAAACUAAUUUUGCAAAAGUCAAUCAUAUUUUAUAAAGUUUACUUUACAUUGUAUUUCUAGUUAUGAACUACUGGCAACAUUUUCACAAAUGUACAAAUCGUAAUCUUUCUGCGUACACUGUCUCUCUCUUAAAAGCGUACAUCAAAUAUGAUUUUAUAAGGAAUAUUUUAUGUUUGUUUCAAAGCAUACACCAGCAUUAACACCCUAACCGUGGCAUAUGUUUUGUACAUUCGUGAAAAUGUUGAUAAUUGUGAAUAGCUCUUUAACUUAAGACUUAAUAAUCCAGUGGUUGAUCCAGAAAAUCCAUUAGGGGGGGGGGGGGGGAGCAAUGAUGCGGUAGAAGGCCACAAACGUUCCUGACGGGAUUUCUUGGAUUCUCCAAUGUAAUAAAAAAUCAAAAACAUAAAAUAAAAAUAUAAUUGUUGCAAAAUUUAGGGGAAGUCUGGGGCCCCCAUUAGAUCCGCCAUUAGUUUGCUUUAGUACUUUAUAUUUAACAGCCACUUAUAAUAUCAAGUCUAAACAAUUAUCACCGUUUUGGGUAAUGUUUGCAAACAGUUACAUGUUGAUACAUUUUUAGCCAUAGUGUCAAAUGACUUUCUUCUUUUCAAUCUUUUUAUGAUUAAAUUCUGACAUAGUCAGAAAUGAAAUGUCACUUGUGUGGGCAAUUAAUCUGAACAUACUGUGUGGAUGCCAUUAUACUGUAUCUUGGAUAAUAAUAAAAAAAUGUUUUACAGGC